UACGGGGGGAGCAAGCGUUGUUCGGAAUUACUGGGCGUAAAGGGCUCGUAGGCGGCCAACUAAGUCAGACGUGAAAUCCCUCGGCUUAACCGGGGAACUGCGUCUGAUACUGGAUGGCUUGAGUUUGGGAGAGGGAUGCGGAAUUCCAGGUGUAGCGGUGAAAUGCGUAGAUAUCUGGAGGAACACCGGUGGCGAAGGCGGCAUCCUGGACCAACACUGACGCUGAGCGAGCGAAAGCCAGGGGAGCAAACGGG
This 254-nucleotide ribosomal RNA is filed under the name uncultured bacterium. Its description in RNAcentral is "partial 16S ribosomal RNA". It matches the Rfam family "Bacterial small subunit ribosomal RNA", at positions 524 to 776 of the family's 1533-position model. The record is from RNAcentral.